GCACAACUAUGAACAAAAUCAAUGAGCAAAGAAGGAAAGGAGGUAAGCGUAGCAACAAGCAAGAAGAAGAUGCGAGAGGAAGACCACCACAUUACCACUCUACCACCAAAGAAGACCACAACGUUAUCACAUCAACACUAGAACAACCACAAACCGAAAGAAAGAGAAAAGGAGGCAUGAGGAAGGAGAAACUAAGAGAGGUAAGGGAGGAGAAACCAAGGAAGCUCGAGGGGUGCACUAGGGUUUCCAAUUCUUAAAAUGCACAAAAGAAUUUUUUUUGUCAAAGAUUCUUAUUUUAAUGUGAGAAGUGGCUGAUGGACAAAGUUGAGAUUUUUGAUAAAGUUGGAGAUGCAUGACGAGAUUGUGGAGGUGCAGCAAGAACGUUUCAAUUUUUUUUAAUACUAAUUAUUUUGAAUCUUUA
RNAcentral lists this long non-coding RNA (421 nucleotides) under Vigna radiata. RNAcentral describes it as "long non-coding RNA (VRAD_LNC005085)". The record is from RNAcentral. Lineage: Eukaryota; Viridiplantae; Streptophyta; Magnoliopsida; Fabales; Fabaceae.